UGGGGAAUAUUGCACAAUGGGGGAAACCCUGAUGCAGCGACGCCGCGUGAGCGAAGAAGGCCUUCGGGUCGUAAAGCUCUUUUAUGAGGGAAGAUAAUGACGGUACCUCAAGAAAAAGCCCCGGCUAACUACGUGCCAGCAGCCGCGGUAAUACGUAGGGGGCUAGCGUUGUCCGGAAUCACUGGGCGUAAAGGGUUCGCAGGCGGAAUAACAAGUCAGAUGUGAAAGGCAUGGGCUCAACCCAUGUAAGCAUUUGAAACUGUAAUUCUUGAGAAGUGGAGAGGUAAGUGGAAUUCCUAGUGUAGCGGUGAAAUGCGUAGAUAUUAGGAGGAAUACCUGUGGCGAAGGCAACUUACUGGACACAAAUCUGACGCUGAGGAACGAAAGCGUGGGUAGCAAACAGG
This 404-nucleotide ribosomal RNA is filed under the name uncultured Peptoniphilus sp. RNAcentral's name for it is "bacterial SSU rRNA". It matches the Rfam family "Bacterial small subunit ribosomal RNA", at positions 355 to 776 of the family's 1533-position model. Lineage: Bacteria; Bacillati; Bacillota; Tissierellia; Tissierellales; Peptoniphilaceae. The record is from RNAcentral.